RNAcentral lists this ribosomal RNA (732 nucleotides) under uncultured cyanobacterium. Its description in RNAcentral is "bacterial SSU rRNA". It matches the Rfam family "Bacterial small subunit ribosomal RNA", at positions 12 to 819 of the family's 1533-position model. Lineage: Bacteria; Bacillati; Cyanobacteriota. The record is from RNAcentral.
UUUGAUCCUGGCUCAGGAUGAACGCUGGCGGUCUGCUUAACACAUGCAAGUCGAACGGGAUCUUCGGAAAUCUAGCUUCAGGUUCGGGACAACCACUGGAAACGGUGGCUAAUACCGGAUGUGCCUAACGGUAAAAGAUUUAUUGCCUGAAGAUGAGCUCGCGUCUGAUUAGCUAGUUGGUAGAGUAAAAGCCUACCAAGGCAUCGAUCAGUAACUGGUCUGAGAGGAUGACCAGUCACACUGGGACUGAGACACGGCCCAGACUCCUACGGGAGGCAGCAGUGGGGAAUUUUCCGCAAUGGGCGAAAGCCUGACGGAGCAAGACCGCGUGAGGGAAGAAGGCUCUUGGGUUGUAAACCUCUUUUCUCAGGGAAGAACACAAUGACGGUACCUGAGGAAUCAGCCUCGGCUAACUCCGUGCCAGCAGCCGCGGUAAUACGGAGGAGGCAAGCGUUAUCCGGAAUGAUUGGGCGUAAAGCGUCCGUAGGUGGCUGCUCAAGUCUGCUGUCAAAGAGCAGGGCUUAACUCUGUAAAGGCAGUGGAAACUGAGCAGCUAGAGUGCGGUAGGGGUAGAGGGAAUUCCCGGUGUAGCGGUGAAAUGCGUAGAGAUCGGGAAGAACACCAGCAGCGAAAGCGCUCUACUGGGCCUGCACUGGCACUCAGGGACGAAAGCUAGGGGAGCGAAUGGGAUUAGAUACCCCAGUAGUCCUAGCCGUAAACGAUGGAUACUAG